RNAcentral lists this long non-coding RNA (1498 nucleotides) under Macaca mulatta (Rhesus monkey). RNAcentral describes it as "lncRNA (ENSMMUG00000052786.1)". The record is from RNAcentral. Lineage: Eukaryota; Metazoa; Chordata; Mammalia; Primates; Cercopithecidae.
UGCCUGGGUUUGAAUUUUGUUCUGUCCCUUGCACCCUGCCUGGGUUCAAAUCCUAGCUCUGCUUAGUAAGUUCUUUUAAGGGGGUGAUCUUCGAGCAAAUGUCUUAGCUCCUGUUUUCCCAAGUAAAUGGACAGAGUAGUUGCUACCUUGUGAAAGAUUCACGUAAUUGACCAGCAUUUACCAAGGAGCAUCAGUGUUUAGUUUUAGUCAUUGGUGAUUGUGUAGUUGGACUGUGAGGCGGUGCUGGGGUAGGGGGUGGUGUGUGUGUGUGUGUAGCACUUAAUUGCAUGCGGAAAGGAAAAGAUACUUUUGAUGACCGAGAGGCAGCUUUUCUCUGCUUUUGUAUCAAAAGGGAAGAAGGGAGUUUGGAGAGGGAAAGGAAUUCUGUUCAAUACUAAGCUCUCUUCCUCAAAAUCAGAGGUACAUAGAAUGUGUAAUAAUUUACAGAAUUUCUAGACUUGAGCAAUCUGAUUUUUAAAAUUUUUUUUUAUUUUUUCAGGUCGAGGCUGAGCUGGAGUUAAUCUGGCGACAUGCUGGAGGUACUAGACAAACACCUCAUUCCAGCAGCUACCACUGCCCCCAUUCACUGGGGAGAAUGGAAAGAAAACAACUGACAACAUCCUCAAAUGUAAACUCAAUUUGCCUCCCUACCUCACACAAGAAGCCAGAGAUCUGCUUAAAAAGGCUCAUCCAUUCUUUAGACACAUUAACUGGGAAGAACUUCUGGCUGGAAAGGUGGAGCCCCUCCUUUAAACCUCUGUUGGUAAGUAUACAUGAAAGCAUAUAAUUGGGUGCAAGGGCUCAUACCUGUAAUCCCAAAACUUUAAAGGGCUGAGGUGGGAGGAUUGUUUGAAGCCAGGAGUUCAAGACCAGCAUGGGCAACAUAACAAGACUUCAUCUCUACAAAACAUUUAAAAGUUAGCUGGGCCGGGCGCGGUGGCUAAAGCCUGUAAUCCCAGCACUUUGGGAGGCCAAGGCGGGCGGAUCACGAGGUCAGGAGAUCAAGACCGUCCUGGCAAACACUGUGAAACCCAGUCUGUAUUAAAAAUACAAAAAAUUAGCCGAGCGUGGUGGCGGGCGCCUGUAGUCCCAGCUACUCGGGAGACUGAGGCAGGAGAAUGGCGCGAACCCGCGAGGCGGAGCUUGCAGUGAGCGGAGAUCACGCCACUGCACUCCAGCCUGGGCGACAAAGCGAGACUCCGUCUCAAAAAAAAAAAAGUUAGCUGGGUGUGGUGGCAUGUGCCUGUGAGUCCCAGCUACUUGAGAGGCUGAGGCAGGUGGAUCGCUUGAGACUUUUUUGGAAUAAGAAAAAUCGCAGCCGGGCGCGGUGGCUCACGCCUGUAAUCCCGGCACUUUGGGAGGCCCAGGCGGGCGGAUCACGAGGUCAGGAGAUUGAGACCAUCCUGGCUAACACGGUGAAACCCCGAAUCUACUAAAAAUACAAAAAAUUAGCCGGGUAUGUUGGCGGGCGUCUGUAGUCCCAGCUACUCAGGAGACU